This 208-nucleotide non-coding RNA is filed under the name Billgrantia desiderata. The record is from RNAcentral. Lineage: Bacteria; Pseudomonadati; Pseudomonadota; Gammaproteobacteria; Oceanospirillales; Halomonadaceae.
GAUGGUCCGACUGAAAUGGGUGCCCCUGUGUCUAGGGGAUAAUCGGGAAGUAUGGUGAGGCCGUAGGCCAAUUCCAUCGCUGCCCCCGCAACGGUAAUGAGUGAGUCGCCUGCAGGAACCACUGGCAUAGCGCUGGGAAGGUGCAGGCUUCGACGUCGUUCUGGCGUCCUCCUCGAGCCCGGAGACCGGCCCAUCAAUCCAUCAUCAU